UGUGUGUUGGAGGAUGAAAACAGGAGUGAUCCAUCGGCUAAGUGUCUUACCACAAUGCUGAAAUUCAAAUUACUGACAACACACA
Choloepus hoffmanni (Hoffmann's two-fingered sloth) is the source of this 85-nucleotide small nucleolar RNA. Ensembl annotates it as small nucleolar RNA, C/D box 71. Its record names the gene SNORD71. NCBI's taxonomy places the organism in Eukaryota, Metazoa, Chordata, Mammalia, Pilosa, Megalonychidae. The record is from Ensembl.